Molecule: non-coding RNA, 969 nt
Organism: Cinara cedri
Lineage: Eukaryota; Metazoa; Arthropoda; Insecta; Hemiptera; Aphididae
Source: the annotation of a GenBank genome assembly
AAAAUAAACCUUACUCUUUUCGGCCACUAUUUUCGUCACAUAUGUAAGAUUUUUAAAUUAAAAAAAAAAAUAAAACCAAAGUACAUGAUGUGCACACAAUUUAAUUAUGUUUUUUUUUUUCUUUUUGUAUGCAUGACGUUCACAAAAGAUUUGAAUUUUCAAACACUAGCAUACGUUUACCGCGAUUACUUUUAAUAUAUUUUGUCAUUUUAACACAUGAGUACCUACGCGACUGCAUUACACACACACACACACACACACACACACACUAUACACGACUCUGCAGUAGCCGGUUAGCAAAAGUAAUUUAUAAACAACAGAAAAUUCUGUAUAUUAUAAAUAUAUUAUAAAGGUACAACAUUUUUAGAAAGAUAAUGGAUAAAUUCAUCAAAAAGCAAACGUUUAGAUUAACAACGGUUGAUAUCAUUUUAACGCGAUCAAUAAUAGCCGUACGAUCUCACGUCGGGCGAUCCCGUACGGAUCCGAUAACGUUUAUUUUGUAAUGUACGCCGUGCGUUUUUCUUUCGCGGCUUUUACACCGGUGACCGAAAACGGUUAUUACGGAACGGCCGGAAACGGUUACGCCCGAAUAAACGUUGUCGCAUUGUAUUUUCUGCGUCGUUCGAUGUCGCCUUCGGACGAGAGAAACACUGCGGUACGCAUAGAAAACCGACGCGUUACGGGUUCUAUUAAAAAAAAAAAAAAAAAAUGAACCGAAAAAAGACCAAAACAAAAACCAAACCGACAGAAAAACGUCGAGAGACCGGCCGAAUCCGGUAAACAAAUACCGAUGUCUACGCAUUAGGCCGGCGCUACGGUACGGCGCACAAAAGACGCGGGCGCUCGUAUACGAGGUUUGACUAUUAAAUAACGAGACUGCGCGCGCAGAGAGCGUCCCAGAAAGGUUAGGGGAAAACCGAAUACAGCGCUGGUUAGCUGGAAGUGUCUAUUGUGCCGGUACGAAAUUGG